This 495-nucleotide ribosomal RNA is filed under the name uncultured bacterium. Its description in RNAcentral is "partial 16S ribosomal RNA". It matches the Rfam family "Bacterial small subunit ribosomal RNA", at positions 28 to 505 of the family's 1533-position model. The record is from RNAcentral.
GAUGAACGCUGGCGGCGUGCCUAAUACAUGCAAGUCGAGCGAACAGACGAGGAGCUUGCUCCUCUGACGUUAGCGGCGGACGGGUGAGUAACACGUGGAUAACCUACCUAUAAGACUGGGAUAACUUCGGGAAACCGGAGCUAAUACCGGAUAAUAUAUUGAACCGCAUGGUUCAAUAGUGAAAGACGGUUUUGCUGUCACUUAUAGAUGGAUCCGCGCCGCAUUAGCUAGUUGGUAAGGUAACGGCUUACCAAGGCGACGAUGCGUAGCCGACCUGAGAGGGUGAUCGGCCACACUGGAACUGAGACACGGUCCAGACUCCUACGGGAGGCAGCAGUAGGGAAUCUUCCGCAAUGGGCGAAAGCCUGACGGAGCAACGCCGCGUGAGUGAUGAAGGUCUUCGGAUCGUAAAACUCUGUUAUUAGGGAAGAACAAAUGUGUAAGUAACUAUGCACGUCUUGACGGUACCUAAUCUGAAAGCCACGGCUAACUACG